RNAcentral lists this ribosomal RNA (522 nucleotides) under uncultured Glomeraceae. RNAcentral's name for it is "SSU rRNA". It matches the Rfam family "Eukaryotic small subunit ribosomal RNA", at positions 569 to 1092 of the family's 1831-position model. Lineage: Eukaryota; Fungi; Glomeromycota; Glomeromycetes; Glomerales; Glomeraceae. The record is from RNAcentral.
AGCAGCCGCGGUAAUUCCAGCUCCAAUAGCGUAUAUUAAAGUUGUUGCAGUUAAAAAGCUCGUAGUUGAAUUUCGGGGUCAGUAGGUCGGUCGUGCCACUGGUAUGAACUGGUUUUACUGAUUCCACCCUCUUGAAGAACUGUAAUGCCAUUAAUUUGGUGUUGCAGGGUAUCAGGACUGUUACUUUGAAAAAAUUAGAGUGUUUAAAGCAGGCUUUAGCUUGAAUACAUUAGCAUGGAAUAAUGAAAUAGGACGUUUGAUCCUAUUUUGUUGGUUUCUAGGAUUGACGUAAUGAUUAAUAGGGAUAGUUGGGGGCAUUAGUAUUCAAUUGUCAGAGGUGAAAUUCUUGGAUUUAUUGAAGACUAACUACUGCGAAAGCAUUUGCCAAGGAUGUUUUCAUUAAUCAAGAACGAAAGUUAGGGGAUCGAAGACGAUCAGAUACCGUCGUAGUCUUAACCAUAAACUAUGCCGACUAGGGAUCGGAUGAUGUUAAUUCUUUAAUGACUCAUUCGGCGCCUUACG